AAAGAAAACUAAACUCCAACCGGGAUGGGGCAUCCCCUCUGAUUACAACAACGAGACAUAGUAGGACUGCAGGAACUUGGAGGCUUGGGAACAUAAUAUGAACUUGUGAAGGUACAAAUGAUUAUACUUGACAUUCAGUUAGUGCACCAAAUAUGCAUAGUACUGUUUAUACUAUAGUGGCCUAGCUUGUAUAAUAAUAUAUAUGUAGGUAUGUAAAAUACUUGUAUAAUUUUGAAAUUGGGUUGGGUAAAAUAAAAAUCCAAGUCAUGCAAUAGUUGGGUAGGGGAAAAAAUGGUUGACCGAAAGGGUGAG
Molecule: non-coding RNA, 312 nt
Organism: Paramuricea clavata
Lineage: Eukaryota; Metazoa; Cnidaria; Anthozoa; Malacalcyonacea; Plexauridae
Source: the annotation of a GenBank genome assembly